AGUCAAUCAGUCAAUUAUUGUGUCAUUUUAUUGUCACUUGCACAUAAGGAUUCACCUAUACAUUGAAGUAACAGGAGCUGGACUCUCUCACCUGGUAUGUGUGACCGCUUUAUUCGGCUCCAGACGGUGAGGAGCAGCAGGAGCAGGAGUAGAAGCAGGAGAGUGACGGCUUCAGACACUGAAUUAACCACCAUAGGGCAGACGAGCACAGAUCAUUCUACAGAGGAGGAGCAGGAGGAAGCAGAGCAAGA
Long non-coding RNA from Scomber japonicus (chub mackerel), 251 nucleotides. RefSeq lists it as uncharacterized. The record is from RefSeq and is a predicted model, not a curated record. NCBI's taxonomy places the organism in Eukaryota, Metazoa, Chordata, Actinopteri, Scombriformes, Scombridae. The transcript has 3 exons.